This 481-nucleotide ribosomal RNA is filed under the name uncultured bacterium. Its description in RNAcentral is "partial 16S ribosomal RNA". It matches the Rfam family "Bacterial small subunit ribosomal RNA", at positions 28 to 507 of the family's 1533-position model. The record is from RNAcentral.
GAUGAACGCUGGCGGCGUGCUUAACACAUGCAAGUCGAACGAAGCACUUUAGUUGAUUUCCUUCGGGACUGAUUAUUUUGUGACUGAGUGGCGGACGGGUGAGUAACGCGUGGGUAACCUGCCUUGUACAGGGGGAUAACAGUUGGAAACGGCUGCUAAUACCGCAUAAGCGCACGGCAUCGCAUGAUGCAGUGUGAAAAACUCCGGUGGUAUAAGAUGGACCCGCGUUGGAUUAGCUAGUUGGUGAGGUAACGGCCCACCAAGGCGACGAUCCAUAGCCGACCGGGGAGGGUGACCGGCCACGAUGGGAAUGAGACACGGACCAAACUCCUACGGGAGGCAGCAGUGGGGAAUAUUGCACACUGGGCGAAAGCCUGAUGCAGCGACGCCGCGUGAGCGAAGAAGUAUUUCGGUAUGUAAAGCUCUAUCAGCAGGGAAGAUAAUGACGGUACCUGACUAAGAAGCACCGGCUAAAUACGUG